RNAcentral lists this ribosomal RNA (465 nucleotides) under Vreelandella stevensii. RNAcentral describes it as "partial 16S ribosomal RNA". It matches the Rfam family "Bacterial small subunit ribosomal RNA", at positions 338 to 795 of the family's 1533-position model. The record is from RNAcentral. Lineage: Bacteria; Pseudomonadati; Pseudomonadota; Gammaproteobacteria; Oceanospirillales; Halomonadaceae.
CCUACGGGAGGCAGCAGUGGGGAAUAUUGGACAAUGGGGGGAACCCUGAUCCAGCCAUGCCGCGUGUGUGAAGAAGGCCCUCGGGUUGUAAAGCACUUUCAGUGAGGAAGAACGCCUGGUGGUUAAUACCCAUCAGGAAAGACAUCACUCACAGAAGAAGCACCGGCUAAUUCCGUGCCAGCAGCCGCGGUAAUACGGAGGGUGCGAGCGUUAAUCGGAAUUACUGGGCGUAAAGCGCGCGUAGGUGGCUUGAUAAGCCGGUUGUGAAAGCCCCGGGCUCAACCUGGGAACGGCAUCCGGAACUGUCAAGCUAGAGUGCAGGAGAGGAAGGUAGAAUUCCCGGUGUAGCGGUGAAAUGCGUAGAGAUCGGGAGGAAUACCAGUGGCGAAGGCGGCCUUCUGGACUGACACUGACACUGAGGUGCGAAAGCGUGGGUAGCAAACAGGAUUAGAUACCCCUGUAGUC